GAAAUGCGAUAAGUAGUGUGAAUUGCAGAAUUCAGUGAAUCAUCGAAUCUUUGAACGCACAUUGCGCCCUUCGGUAUUCCGUUGGGCAUGCCUGUUCGAGCGUCAUUUAAACCUUCAAGCUCUGCUUGGUGUUGGGUGUUUGUUCCGCCUUAGCGCGUGGACUCGCCUUAAAUUCAUUGGCAGCCGGUAUAUUGGCUUCAUGCGCAGCACAUUGCGUCAUGAUGUUGGCGUACCCCCCUUCCAUUAAGCUUUUUUCUUAGUUUGACCUCGGAUCAGGUAGGGAUACCCGCUGAACUUAA
This 299-nucleotide unclassified non-coding RNA is filed under the name uncultured Melanommataceae. RNAcentral describes it as "sequence contains ITS1". The stretch from base 1 to 105 matches the Rfam family "5.8S ribosomal RNA", at positions 50 to 154 of the family's 154-position model. The record is from RNAcentral. Lineage: Eukaryota; Fungi; Ascomycota; Dothideomycetes; Pleosporales; Melanommataceae.